UUCCCGUGUUUACUCCCGAUUUGAUUACAGGCGAUUUAAGCCACCAUUUGACGCACCGUUUCCUCCUAUUUAAGCCCCAUUCUCUCCUCUUCAUUUCCCCUCAAAUCACACAGACCGAUAGCCCCCAGGCUGCUCGAAUUUGAGCUCGCAAGUCCGCGGUACCGGCAACUUCCCGGGACGAUUCCGAGACGACGCCAUAUUCAACUGCAGUCCGCGAGAAGGUUUUUCGGCGAGCGACUGCGCGUGAACCAGUGCACCACGACGUCCGUGACUUCGCCAUCAAGUUCAUCCUGUCAAGCUAAGAGCCUUUGUCUGUUUCUCCAUCGCCAAGGAGCACCAGAACUCCGCCUCCGCAAACUCCCGAGCGCCAUCGCCGACGUCGCACGGAACUCCGGUCGUUCUUCGUCGUUGUUCCAGGAAGCUCCUGAACACAUAAACUGUACCGUCGGAAUCAUCACGUCGAUCAUCUUCUACUACUCCUGCAUCUCCGGUGACCACCAGAACGCCGUCGCCAUUCGCGCCCGACUCACAAGGGUCGUACUUCUGCCAGACUACCAAUUUUGUACGGAGAGCUGCAUGUUUUGAUUAAGAGAAGUGAACGUUCUUCGACUACCAAAAAGGCAAGUGACACACACCAAAAGUCCCAGUUUUAAUUCUUGCACCGUAGUGUUUUUAUAGUAGACAUGUCUAGGGUUUAUGCUUUUUGCUUGCUAUUAAAUCCUAGUAGUUUAGCUACACCACU
Lolium perenne is the source of this 742-nucleotide non-coding RNA. The record is from RefSeq and is a predicted model, not a curated record. NCBI's taxonomy places the organism in Eukaryota, Viridiplantae, Streptophyta, Magnoliopsida, Poales, Poaceae.